RNAcentral lists this ribosomal RNA (293 nucleotides) under uncultured bacterium. RNAcentral describes it as "partial 16S ribosomal RNA". It matches the Rfam family "Bacterial small subunit ribosomal RNA", at positions 28 to 319 of the family's 1533-position model. The record is from RNAcentral.
GAUUAACGCUAGCGGCAGGCCUAAUACAUGCAAGUUGUACGGGAUUAUUGGUAGCAAUACUGAUAUGAGAGUAGCGCACGGGUGCGUAACACGUAUGCAACCUACCUUUAACUGGGGAAUAGCCUUCCGAAAGGAAGAUUAAUACCGCAUAACAUUGCGAAACGACAUCGUUUUGCAAUUAAACCUACGGGGGUUAGAGAUGGGCAUGCGUCCGAUUAGCUAGUUGGCGGGGUAAUAGCCCACCAAGGCAACGAUCGGUAGGGGGUCUGAGAGGAUGAUCCCCACACUGGUAC